CUUACAUUGCUUGGCAUAAACUUGUCCUCCUCUUUAAUACCUGGAGGAAGCGUAAGGCCUAUCAUAUCUUUUGCCUGUAUACCAACUCGAUAAUGCCUGAACAUUGGUUCUGUACUGUCAAACUCCUCGGACGAGCAAUUUGUUUCGAUAGACUUCACCACUGCAUUUUGCUGACGUGUCAACUCUUGAUUGCCAUCAGAUUCUUUAGCUGUACAGAAUUCAUUGGAAACCCCAUCAGAUUUGAUACACAGUAAGUUUAUGAUCAUCGUGGCAUGUUAGUGACGCAAAAUCCUAAAAGAAUACAACGAAUCUUUUUUGUUUGAACUAGCGUGCUCAUUAGGUGUAUGUGCGCUUCUUUUUCCUGCCUUGACAGAGACAAGUGGAGACUUGUAUUUGACUGGAGUUACUUUUUUUCUUCGGUUUUGUUUCACU
This 432-nucleotide long non-coding RNA is filed under the name Setaria viridis. RNAcentral describes it as "long non-coding RNA (SVIR_LNC009074)". Lineage: Eukaryota; Viridiplantae; Streptophyta; Magnoliopsida; Poales; Poaceae. The record is from RNAcentral.